This 251-nucleotide ribosomal RNA is filed under the name Acinetobacter baumannii. RNAcentral's name for it is "partial 23S ribosomal RNA". It matches the Rfam family "Bacterial large subunit ribosomal RNA", at positions 2698 to 2925 of the family's 2925-position model. The record is from RNAcentral. Lineage: Bacteria; Pseudomonadati; Pseudomonadota; Gammaproteobacteria; Moraxellales; Moraxellaceae.
UGGACGAACCUCUGGUGUACCGGUUGUGACGCCAGUCGCAUCGCCGGGUAGCUAUGUUCGGAAGGGAUAACCGCUGAAAGCAUCUAAGCGGGAAGCCUACCUCAAGAUAAGAUUUCCCUAGGACUUUAUGUCCUCUAAAGAGCCGUUCGAGACUAGGACGUUGAUAGGUUGGAUGUGGAAGCAUAGUGAUAUGUGAAGCUGACCAAUACUAAUUGCUCGUGAGGCUUGACUAUACAACACCCAAGCAGUUG